This 438-nucleotide ribosomal RNA is filed under the name uncultured bacterium. RNAcentral describes it as "partial 16S ribosomal RNA". It matches the Rfam family "Bacterial small subunit ribosomal RNA", at positions 355 to 784 of the family's 1533-position model. The record is from RNAcentral.
UGGGGAAUAUUGGACAAUGGGCGAAAGCCUGAUCCAGCCAUGCCGCGUGUGUGAAGAAGGUCUUCGGAUUGUAAAGCACUUUAAGUUGGGAGGAAGGGCAGUAAAUUAAUACUUUGCUGUUUUGACGUUACCGACAGAAUAAGCACCGGCUAACUCUGUGCCAGCAGCCGCGGUAAUACAGAGGGUGCAAGCGUUAAUCGGAAUUACUGGGCGUAAAGCGCGCGUAGGUGGUUCGUUAAGUUGGAUGUGAAAUCCCCGGGCUCAACCUGGGAACUGCAUUCAAAACUGACGAGCUAGAGUAUGGUAGAGGGUGGUGGAAUUUCCUGUGUAGCGGUGAAAUGCGUAGAUAUAGGAAGGAACACCAGUGGCGAAGGCGACCACCUGGACUGAUACUGACACUGAGGUGCGAAAGCGUGGGGAGCAAAACAGGAUUAGAUA